AGCAGAAUUGAAGACACAGACGGCAAAGGCGACGACGACGGCGACGACGAUGGCAUCGACUGUGCGGCAUCGAUUGUGUCGUUCGCAGAUCACAUACCACGGUGCGGCGACACAGACGAAGACGAACACAGAGCACAAAAAGGGCAAACUGAGAAAUCAAAAAAAUUUAUGCAAAAAACUCGCACACUAACGCAGAACAACACUCGCACACAAAUGCAUUGAGUGAUUUUGAUUACGAGGAAUGAAUAGGCGGCGCACUAAUACAAGCAUCGAACACUAUGAAAUUGCAGUAACAACGUGAAUGGGAAUGGAACACAACAAUAGCAGCGGGAGCAGCAAGAGCAAAUAAACUUCCAAAAAAAAAGAGAAGUGGAACGAACAACGUGAAGAACUAAAUUGUAAAUCGAAAUUCCAAGAAGUGCGGUCUGAGAUUUGGUCGGAGGUUUGUUUUUUAAACGUCUGACGUCGACGGCGGCAUUAAAAAAGUGUGCAAAAAGCGUUUGAGAUACUUUUACGCGCGCGCGCGAAAGCUAACGAGUGCGAGGGGUGUACCGGGCUAUGAUUGUAUGUACGUGUCACACAUACAUAUGUACGUGUGAGUGUGUGGGUCUUUAGUGUGCGCGGCGUUUAGGACUUUUGCAUACAAAAGAGGCGGAGAGAAGACGUGCAAUUAGUGUGCAAUAAAACGGAGAUAGAAGAAUUUGAUGGAUAGGCCCAAUUAUACCAAUGUUUACGUUUAACAGAGAUUUUACUGUAUGUUGUGAUUGAGCUCCACAUUGGCAUCCAAAAAGCUAUUGCAAAUUUGAAUUGGAGAUUGACAAAGGUGUUGACAGGCUUUUGGCAUUGAAGGUAUUUGAACUUUGCAGAGAAUUUCGAGUGAAGCGAGGCCAUGGGAGUCCCAAAAAGUAGGGGAAAUCUGAGAAUGUACAUAAGAAGCAGCGUAACAUAGAAAAAUGCUGAUCAGAAAGAAUGUUCGUCUGUGGGCACAUACACACACAUACACGUACACACGUGCGCAGGACAAACAGUUAGAAAAGGAUAGGUGCGCGGGGAAUGACCCUCGGUCCCGUUUCAAUUCCCAUACACAAUCCUGUUCCUUUCGGGGCUCUGUCUGUACAUAUGUUCAAUCAGCUGAUCGUGCGUAGCCCGAAGGACAUGCACAUAACAGAGUAGAGAAUUAGUCCUGCUGUUCUGUGGUAUGUGUGUGACACGAGCAGAAGGAGAGGCACGGGGAACGAGCACAACGCGCGCGCAAAAUUCCUUAACACGAGCCCAACAACAACAACAGCAGCAGCUCUGUGUGUUGUGUGCUCAGAGCGUGCGUGUGUGUGUGCCAACGUAAGACGUAGCAGGGGGGGAGCAGAGAUUUCUUGCAGUCGCCGAUGUGCAUUGGCCAGGCAGAUCGACGAAAGAAGUAGGUGAAGAGCGCAUGAGCGCUCGGAAUAGGUGCACAAAGAGGAAACGCGUUUUGAUUUUUGCGCCAAAAUCGUUGCCGCUGUAUAUGUGUCAAUGUGAGAGGCCUGUGCCAGUGUAUGUGUGUGUGCAGGACUCGUCUGAUGGGUAGAGUUGCCGUUUAAAAGGCACAAAUGGCUAAAUAAUUUCAGUUAAUAGCUUUUAGAGUACAACUUAUUUGCCGAC
This is a long non-coding RNA of Drosophila navojoa, 1638 nucleotides long. The record is from RefSeq and is a predicted model, not a curated record. Lineage: Eukaryota; Metazoa; Arthropoda; Insecta; Diptera; Drosophilidae.